This 497-nucleotide ribosomal RNA is filed under the name uncultured bacterium. RNAcentral's name for it is "partial 16S ribosomal RNA". It matches the Rfam family "Bacterial small subunit ribosomal RNA", at positions 28 to 507 of the family's 1533-position model. The record is from RNAcentral.
GAUGAACGCUGGCGGCGUGCCUAAUACAUGCAAGUCGAGCGAACAGACGAGGAGCUUGCUCCUUCGACGUUAGCGGCGGACGGGUGAGUAACACGUAGGUAACCUACCUAUAAUACUGGGAGAACUUCGGGAAACCGGAGCUAAUACCGGAUAAUAUUUCGAACCGCAUGGUUCGAUAGUGAAAGAUGCCUUUGCUAUCACUUUUAGAUGGACCUGCGCCGUAUUAGCUAGUUGGUAAGGUAACGGCUUACCAAGGCAACGAUACGUAGCCGACCUGAGAGGGUGAUCGGCCACACUGGAACUGAGACACGGUCCAGACUCCUACGGGAGGCAGCAGUAGGGAAUCUUCCGCAAUGGGCGAAAGCCUGACGGAGCAACGCCGCGUGAGUGAUGAAGGUCUUCGGAUCGUAAAACUCUGUUAUUAGGGAAGAACAAACGUGUAAGUAACUGUGCACGUCUUGACGGUACCUAAUCAGAAAGCCACGGCUAACUACGUG